RNAcentral lists this ribosomal RNA (460 nucleotides) under uncultured bacterium. Its description in RNAcentral is "partial 16S ribosomal RNA". It matches the Rfam family "Bacterial small subunit ribosomal RNA", at positions 338 to 795 of the family's 1533-position model. The record is from RNAcentral.
CCUACGGGUGGCAGCAGUGAGGAAUAUUGGUCAAUGGGCGAGAGCCUGAACCAGCCAAGUAGCGUGAAGGAUGACUGCCCUACGGGUUGUAAACUUCUUUUAUAAAGGAAUAAAAUGUGGCACGUGUGGCAUUUUGCAUGUACUUUAUGAAUAAGGAUCGGCUAACUCCGUGCCAGCAGCCGCGGUAAUACGGAGGAUCCGAGCGUUAUCCGGAUUUAUUGGGUUUAAAGGGAGCGUAGAUGGGUUGUUAAGUCAGUUGUGAAAGUUUGCGGCUCAACCGUAAAAUUGCAUUUGAUACUGGCAGUCUUGAGUACAGUUGAGGUAGGCGGAAUUCGUGGUGUAGCGGUGAAAUGCUUAGAUAUCACGAAGAACCCCGAUUGCGAAGGCAGCUUACUAGACUGCGACUGACACUGAGGCUCGAAAGUGUGGGUAUCAAACAGGAUUAGAUACCCGUGUAGUC